RNAcentral lists this unclassified non-coding RNA (236 nucleotides) under plant metagenome. Its description in RNAcentral is "partial contains small subunit ribosomal RNA, internal transcribed spacer 1, and 5.8S ribosomal RNA". The record is from RNAcentral.
UUUCCGUAGGUGCACCUGCGGAAGGAUCAUUACCGAGUGAGGGCCCUCUGGGUCCAACCUCCCACCCGUGUUUAUCGUACCUUGUUGCUUCGGCGGGCCCGCCUCACGGCCGCCGGGGGGCACCCGCCCCCGGGCCCGCGCCCGCCGAAGACACCAUUGAACGCUGUCUGAAGAUUGCAGUCUGAGCAUCUUAGCUAAAUCAGUUAAAACUUUCAACAACGGAUCUCUUGGUUCCG